Molecule: ribosomal RNA, 253 nt
Filed under: uncultured bacterium
Lineage: Bacteria
Description: partial 16S ribosomal RNA
Rfam family: Bacterial small subunit ribosomal RNA
Source: RNAcentral
UACGUAUGGUGCGAGCGUUGUCCGGAUUUACUGGGCGUGAAGGGGGCGCAGGCGGCGCGCCAAGCCCGAUGUGAAAGCCCGGGGCUCAACCCCGGGACUGCAUUGGGAACUGGCGUGCUGGAGUGCCGGAGGGGCAGGCGGAAUUCCUGGUGUAGCGGUGAAAUACGUAGAUAUCAGGAGGAACACCGGUGGCGAAGGCGGCCUGCUGGACGGAUACUGACGCCGAGGCCCGAAAGCGUGGGGAGCGAACAGG